GGGCAUGUAGCUCAGUGGACUAGAGCACCUGGCUACGGACCAGGGUGUCGGGGGUUCGAAUCCCUCCUUGCCCG
Molecule: transfer RNA, 74 nt
Filed under: Romeriopsis navalis LEGE 11480
Lineage: Bacteria; Bacillati; Cyanobacteriota; Cyanophyceae; Leptolyngbyales; Leptolyngbyaceae
Rfam family: tRNA
About the family: Transfer RNA (tRNA) molecules are approximately 80 nucleotides in length. Their secondary structure includes four short double-helical elements and three loops (D, anti-codon, and T loops).
Source: Rfam by way of RNAcentral